UUCUACAAGUGACAUAAAAUAUAUCGCCGGAGCUUAAAUUCCCUUUUAAUAUCAGCCGGUACGCAACUCUGUCCCAGCUUGUAGGAGUCUGGCUCCACUUUUGACGGCGCCGUUUGUCCUCUUCCAUGAAAGCUCUCAGUGCGUGGCACUGGAUCAACUAUGUCGCUGAAGCACUUCCAUAGCGGUUGCUUUACCUUCUGCUCCUGAACUGGAUGAUAAUUGGCUGGUGUGAGAAGGAUGAUUACGAUGCUUCAAGGGGUGAUCAAGCUGAAUGGAGUGGGUGGCUUCUACCACAUUUGGUCUAUGUGGGAUGAUAAUGUGGCUGAUAGUGUGAAUGUGAUUAGCCAGGAGGAUGAUUGUAAUGCUUCACGGGAAGAUCAAGCUGAAAGGAGUGGGCGGUGGUAUGGAAUUGCCAGGUUAUGAGAGUGAAAAGCCACAAACAUAUAUGAAAGGGCCGGGGUAAAGAGUAGAGCUAUUGUUGAUGGGGCUCCAUCGACCAGCAAUGACUUCUGAAGUAUCAGAGCAUCGUAAAUUAAAGCUACCUUCAAGAUCUAAACCAUUGGAGACUUUGGAAAACAAUUAUAGACAGGUAUAUGGUUGCUCAGUGUCCUUGGUGAUAUCAAUUUUAUGUUUUUUUCCAUUGUCAUAGGCGAUCGCUAUUUAAUCAAUUAUGGGUAACCAGAAUCCUGGGGACAUUGGCAAGGUUUAGAGUGUCAAUGAAUUGCAUGAAAAUUCAAAUCUUCGAUCCAAAAUCAGGGCUGGGUAUUGGUGAGGGUGGGAGUCAACCAGUGGAGAGACAAGUUAAGCGUCCGAAACUGAAUUUGAAGCCAUGGUUGCGGCCUUUUGAUUAAUCUGAUGCCAGUCUAGAAAGAGAAAGAUCUGUAAAAUUGCUCCAGAUCUGAUAUGUCAGUUCUUAUUUUAUUCCAUAUUUUAGAGACGAAAGCUGCAAUGAGAUAAUGUUUGAUCUAAAA
Long non-coding RNA from Alnus glutinosa, 971 nucleotides. RefSeq lists it as uncharacterized. The record is from RefSeq and is a predicted model, not a curated record. NCBI's taxonomy places the organism in Eukaryota, Viridiplantae, Streptophyta, Magnoliopsida, Fagales, Betulaceae. The transcript has 2 exons.